This 2030-nucleotide long non-coding RNA is filed under the name Daphnia magna. Its description in RNAcentral is "uncharacterized LOC123470020". The record is from RNAcentral. Lineage: Eukaryota; Metazoa; Arthropoda; Branchiopoda; Diplostraca; Daphniidae.
GAUUUCCAUGUCGGACUGACGUCAAUCUCAAAGAGAAAAUAGAUCUUUUUUUUCUCUCGUUCUAUUUUGUACGUGAAUAUGAAAGAGAAUCGAAAGAAUGGGAAGUUAGCGCACGGGGAAAUUGCAAGUUGAAGGGCGGACACACGCACGGGAAAAGUCGUGCUAAUCUAGCUACUGUUGUUACAGGUUCUCCAGUUGUUAUCGUGUUGCUGUCGUCAUUGUCCAUGUUGCCCUUCUUUCACCAGUUUGUCUUUUUCCUUUGCCAUUUUUUUCUAUUCGACAUUCGUCCCCCUUUGUUAGCCACACUCGUACCCUUGUUUAUUCACAAUGACUUUUGCACGAUAGAAUUGAUCAGACCUUCCAUCGCUCUAAAAAAAACUGUAGUUUUCAUGUCACAUACCAUCGAAGCUAAAAAAAAAAAAAGAGAGAAAGAAAUGAACGACAUGCCAAGAGAAAGGGGAAAAAAAGAAAAUGCGAGAAAUUUUACGCGAACGAGAAGGUCGCGACGCUUUGCCAACCAAAACGCUCGGAAUUUUUCUUUCUUUUUACAGCAUAUUUCGCUCGUGUAACUAAUGUGCUGCGUGUCGCUCGUAUACUUUCUUUCGCAUAAUUCUGCAAAGUCAUUCCUGUCAAUGGUGGAAAUCCCAAAAUCUUAGUAUCGUACGGUGGCCGCCAAAAGGUCGGAGCAAACACACCUUGAAUAAAACUAAAUGCACAUUUUUUUUCCCCUCACGUCUUACGCAACAAAUCUAUGAAUACAGCUGUAUGUGCAAACAGUAUAGAUGGUUACCUGUAUCCACUGUCAUUGAUGAUUUGCCAAGCGCACCUGGAUGGAUGCAGGCGUCGGACCAUAUCCGAAUCCUGCAAUGUGUCUUCAACGACCUUCGAAUGGACAGAGACGGAUUAAAAAGGAAUGUUUUCUGUACAUGCACGCUAUUCUCACCAUCAGCCUUGAGACUGUGUUUUGGUGGCUGAUUAUCACACUAUACUGGUGUUAUGGGUUCCCAAAUGAUUAGGGAAGCCACGGAGGUUGUUGAUUACAAAAGCAAAGAAGACAUUUCUAUUGGAGGGUCUUGGGGAAAAAAAAAAGUGAAUCACGUCUUCACAUAAGAUGAUGAAAGAAAAAAAAAACUGGGACCAUGUAUGAGCAUUCGUUUUAUUGUUUUUGAGUGAUAUAAGAAAGGAGGGGUGCGUCAGUGCCAGCUAGAGACUAAUGAACCUAUUUUUAAAGCCAAACUUUUUUUUUUUUUUACAUCCGCUCAGAUGGAGUGGAUGAUUUUUUUUUCGACUAUUCUGUGUUGUUAAUAUCCGCAUACUAAAAAAAACCAUUUGGUUGAUUUUUUUUUUUUUAAAUGGGAGGUAGUUUGUAUUCGUCCUUCAUAAAUCUCCAUAAUCGUGCCAACAUUUGUUCCUGAGUUAAGAUCUAAAAAAAAUAUAUAUGAAGAAAGUUCAUUCUUUAUGAAUUCCUUUGUUGCAUCAUUAAACACCGUUUAUGGGCAAUUUUUUCCACCAAUGAAAACAUAAAAAAAAAAUCUUUUCUUUAACCUGAAACUAGGAAGGUUUUCUAUUAAAACAUUUCGAGUCAUCCUCUCUUUUAUUUCAGGGCCAUGUUUGUACAUGUUCUUUUCAGUCAACUAUGUGACGUUUGAAAGAGUGCCCUUUGCUGUUGAAGCUAGUAACCUGAUCUAUUGUCUCGAUGGUGGUGCAAUCAGACGGAUUACCAUUUUUCUCUAUUGGCCUCGAUUCCGUGUUGGUGGCCGAGGUCGCUUGCCCAGCGACACAGUCAUCAAUGUCGCGAUGCGGCUCGAGUCGUCGGCCACUUGACGGAUGGCAGUCGUGUAAACGGGAGCUCUUGUACAAUCCAUAAAUUUUUAAAAACAUUUUCCUUUCAAGUCUGUAAAGCCAUGUCCUUCUGCGCAGCAAAAGCGCACUGGGACUUGGUUGAUAACAAAUCGAUGUUUGGCACCUUUUAUUUUUGUCAGCUCAUUGUGUAAACAAUUUUGUUCGAGAAUAAAAUUUGUAGGGUUUCA